Rana temporaria (common frog) is the source of this 79-nucleotide small nucleolar RNA. RefSeq annotates it as small nucleolar RNA SNORD11. The record is from RefSeq and is a predicted model, not a curated record. NCBI's taxonomy places the organism in Eukaryota, Metazoa, Chordata, Amphibia, Anura, Ranidae. The transcript has a single exon.
UGGCCAGUGAUGAUGAUUUAUAUCUAAUUGCCUGAUACUUCUAUGAAGGCAAUUUCAGUCACUACCUCAUCUGAGGCCA